AACAUGGAAUAAGACACAUGGAUAAAGACACAUGGAAUAAGACACAUGGAAGAAGACACAUGGAUAAAGACACAUGGAAUAAGACACAUGGAAUAAGACACAUGGAAGAAGACACAUGGAAUAAGACACAUGGAAGAAGACACAUGGAAUAAGACACAUGGAUAAAGACACAUGGAAUAAGACACAUGGAAUAAGACACAUGGAAUAACGACACAUGGAAUAAGACACAUGGAACAUGACACAUGGAAUAAGACACAUGGAAUAAAGACACAUGGAAUAAGACACAUGGAAUAAGACACAUGGAUAAAGACACAUGGACAAAGACACAUGGAAUAAAACACAUGGAAGAAGACACAUGGAAUAAGACACAUGGAUAAAGACACAUGGAAUAAGACACAUGGAAUAAGACACAUGGAAUAAGACACAUAGAUAAAGACACAUGGAAUAAGACACAUGGAUAAAGACACAUGGAUAAAGACACAUGGACAAAGACACAUGGAAUAAAACACAUGGAAGAAGACACAUGGAAUAAGACACAUGGACAAAGACACAUGGAAUAAAACACAUGGAAGAAGACACAUGGAAUAAGACACAUGGAUAAAGACACAUGGAAUAAGACACAUGGAAUAAGACACAUGGAAUAAGACACAAUGAAGAAGCCCAGCUAAUUCAUAUACAGCUGCACGCCUCUCUUUUUCUCUCUCCUCCUCCCUUCCUCCCCUCCUCCUCUCCUCACCCUCCUCCUCUCUUCUCCUCUCCUCCUCCACUCCUCACCUUCCGCCUCUCCUCCCAUCCUCUCUCUCCUUCUGUCCUCCUCUCCUCCGCCUCUCCUCCUCCUCUCCUCCCCACCUCCCCACCUCUUCUCCUCUGCUCCUCUCCCUCCUUUUCUCUUCUCCUCCUCUCCUCACCCUUCACCUCUCCUCCCAUCCUCCUCUCCUUCUGUCCUGCUCUCCUCCUCCCACCUCUUCUGUUCCUCCUCCUCUCCCUCCUCUUCUCUUCUCCUCUCCUCCUCCUCUCCUCCCAUCCUCCUCUCCUACCCGCCUCUCCUCCUCCCUUACUCCUCUCAACAAUCCUCCUCUUCUCCUCCCCCUCUUCUUCUCCCAUACUCAUCCUCUCCUCCUCCUCUUCUUCUCAUCCUCCUCCCAUCCUCCUCUCCUCCUCUCCUCCUCCCCUCCUCUCCUCAUCCUCCUCUCUUCCUCCUCCUCUCCUCCUCUCUUCUCCUCACCCUCCUCCUCUCCUCACCUUCCAUUUCUCCUCCCCUCCUGUCAUGCCUCUCUCCAUAGCCAGUGCAGACAGAUAAGCAGCCAGCCAUAGACUGGCUAAUCCACUGGGAGAAACAGACCAUGAUAGCAAGAUAAAAACCAGCUAGAUAAGCAUGGAGAGAGAGAGAAACCGAGAGAGAGAGACAGAGAGAGAGACAAAGAGACAAAGAGACAGACAGAGAGAAAGAGACAAAGAGCGAGAGAGAGACAAAGAGACAGAGAGAAAGACAUAGAGAGACAAAGAGAGACAGAGAGACAUAGACAAAGAGGGAGACAAAGAAUAAGGGACAGAAGGUUAGAGAAGAGGGGACUAGAGGUAGAGAGACAGAGAGAGGAGAAGGGACAGAAGGGAAGAGGGGACUAGAGGUAGAGAGACAGAGAGAGGAGAAGGGACAGACGGGAAGAGGGGACUAGAGGUAGAGAGACAGAGAGAGGAGAAGGGACAGACGGGAAGAGGGGACUAGAGGUAGAGAGACAGAGAGAGGAGAAGGGACAGAAAGGAAGAGGGGACUAGAGGUAGAGAAGUGCAGUAGUUGAGGAAAUAGCAGGAGGUUAAUGUGUUUGUAGUCUGCAGACAGUUUGUCUAAUUUGUUUGAGUGUGACGCCAUAUGUGUUAGUGAGGUCUGUAGAUCUCUCUCGUUCUGUCGCUCUCUCAAUUCAAUUGAAUUCAAUUCCAUUCAAAGGGAAGUAUUGGCAUGGGAAACAUAUGUUUACAUUGCCAAAACAACUGAAAUAGACAAUUAACAAAAGUGAAAUAAACAAUAAAAAAUGAACAGUAAACAAAAGAAUAAAGACAUUUUAAAUGUUAUAUUAUGGCUAUAUACAGUGUUGUAAAAAAGCCUGGAGGGAGCGGUUGAGCCGGAUUACCAGACGCCCUAAAUACCAGAUGUAUUUCUGAGUGUAUCUGAGUGGAGCCAAAGAGAGGAAGAGUGUGCAAGUUGGAGCAGAGAAUGAGUCAGAAUUUGAUUGAGAAGAGAAAGAAAGAUGCAGUUUUGCAGACAACCCAGAAGUGGUUCCCCAGAGAGACGUUUUGGAGGUUUUCGUCAGAUGUAGAGCGCUCUCUCUCUCUCUCUCUCUCUCUCUCUCUCUCUCUCUCUCUCUCUCUCUCUACCUCCCUCUCUC
Molecule: long non-coding RNA, 2384 nt
Filed under: Salmo salar (Atlantic salmon)
Lineage: Eukaryota; Metazoa; Chordata; Actinopteri; Salmoniformes; Salmonidae
Description: lncRNA (ENSSSAG00000092840.1)
Source: RNAcentral